UUUUUUUUUUUCAGGGGAAGAGUUGGAGCUCUGCGCCUCUCAGUUUUGGGGGUGCAGGAGUUGUCUCUUGAGUCUGGGGGUGGGUGUCCCUGGGGUUUCUCCCCCGACUGCGAGGUCUGCCUUAUCCUCCUUGGCUUAUCGAGCUUCAAUGUCCUUCAGUGUGUGGGACGGUGGCCUCUCUCGGAUUUCAGCCGACAGAGGCGUAGUCCUCCGGGGGGAUCCCGGGCGGCCCCCCAAUGUGGAGAUGAGCGGAGGUGGGGCGCUGAGCGCCGCGGUGGGCGGGGUCUUGUUAAGUAGUCCAUUCUGGUGGCCCGCAGUAGGGCUGAUGCGAGGGUAGUGCAUACUAGGCAGGCCUGGUGUGAGCAGGCUCGGGUGUGGGAGGUGUCCAUCUAGAGAAGCGGGGUGCACAGGGUGCAACCGUGGGUGCUC
RNAcentral lists this long non-coding RNA (429 nucleotides) under Rattus norvegicus (Norway rat). RNAcentral describes it as "long non-coding RNA NONRATT007899". Lineage: Eukaryota; Metazoa; Chordata; Mammalia; Rodentia; Muridae. The record is from RNAcentral.